This 253-nucleotide ribosomal RNA is filed under the name uncultured bacterium. Its description in RNAcentral is "partial 16S ribosomal RNA". It matches the Rfam family "Bacterial small subunit ribosomal RNA", at positions 524 to 776 of the family's 1533-position model. The record is from RNAcentral.
UACGAAGGGGGCUAGCGUUGUUCGGAACUACUGGGCGUAAAGCGCGUGUAGGCGGGUCUUUAAGUCAGGGGUGAAAUGCCAAGGCUCAACCUUGGAACUGCCUUUGAUACUGGAGAUCUUGAGUCCGGGAGAGGUGAGUGGAACUGCGAGUGUAGAGGUGAAAUUCGUAGAUAUUCGCAAGAACACCAGUGGCGAAGGCGGCUCACUGGCCCGGAACUGACGCUGAGACGCGAAAGCGUGGGGAGCAAACAGG